CAGCAGCCGCGGGAAUACGUAGGGUCCGAGCGUUGUCCGGAAUUAUUGGGCGUAAAGGGCUCGUAGGCGGUUUGUUGCGUCGGGAGUGAAAACCCAGGGCUUAACUUUGGGCUUGCUUUCGAUACGGGCAGACUUGAGGCAUUGAGGGGAGAACGGAAUUCCUGGUGUAGCGGUGAAAUGCGCAGAUAUCAGGAGGAACACCGGUGGCGAAGGCGGUUCUCUGGCAAUGUUCUGACGCUGAGGAGCGAAAGUGUGGGGAGCGAACAGGAUUAGAUACCCCCGUAGUCCCUGUCUCUUAUAC
RNAcentral lists this ribosomal RNA (301 nucleotides) under uncultured bacterium. RNAcentral describes it as "partial 16S ribosomal RNA". It matches the Rfam family "Bacterial small subunit ribosomal RNA", at positions 509 to 807 of the family's 1533-position model. The record is from RNAcentral.